RNAcentral lists this ribosomal RNA (437 nucleotides) under uncultured bacterium. RNAcentral describes it as "bacterial SSU rRNA". It matches the Rfam family "Bacterial small subunit ribosomal RNA", at positions 954 to 1392 of the family's 1533-position model. The record is from RNAcentral.
AUGGGAACGCGAAGAACCUUACCUAGACUUGACAUCUUCUGCAUUAAUCGUAAUGGAUGAAAUCCCUUCGGGGACAGAAUGACAGGUGGUGCAUGGUUGUCGUCAGCUCGUGUCGUGAGAUGUUGGGUUAAGUCCCGCAACGAGCGCAACCCCUAUUAUUAGUUGCUAACAUUAAGUUGAGCACUCUAGUGAGACUGCCCGGGUUAACCGGGAGGAAGGUGGGGAUGACGUCAAAUCAUCAUGCCCCUUAUGUCUAGGGCUACACACGUGCUACAAUGGUGGGAACAAAGAGAUGCAAUACCGCAAGGUGGAGCUAAACUCAAAACCCCAUCCCAGUUCGGAUUGUAGGCUGAAACUCGACUCCAUGAAGUCGGAAUCGCUAGUAAUCGUAGAUCAGAAUGCUACGGUGAAUACGUUCCCGGGUCUUGUACACACCG